GUUGAAAAUGCAGUUUCCUGUGCCCCACCCCAGAACCACUGACUGACCCUCCUGGGGUGGGGUCCAGGAAUCUGCUUUUU
Molecule: microRNA precursor, 80 nt
Filed under: Chlorocebus sabaeus (green monkey)
Lineage: Eukaryota; Metazoa; Chordata; Mammalia; Primates; Cercopithecidae
Description: miRNA (ENSCSAG00000023223.1)
Source: RNAcentral